GUUUGUAAAGCUCUGUCGGGAGGGACGAACGAGUCCGGGUAACGCCGGAUUGUGACGGUACCUCCAAAGGAAGCACCGGCUAACUCUGUGCCAGCAGCCGCGGUAAUACAGAGGGUGCAAGCGUUGUACGGAAUAACUGGGCGUAAAGCGCGUGUAAGCGGCGUCGUAAGUCGGAUGUGAAAUCCCUCAGCUCACCUGAGGAAGUGCAUCCGAUACUGCGAUGCUUGAGUGUCAUUAGGGGAUGGCGGAAUUCCCGGAUGUAAAAGGUGAAAUUCAUAGAUAUCGGGAGGAACACCUGUGGAGAAGGCGGACAUCUGGAUGACGACUGACGCUGAAACGCGAAAGCGUGGGUAGCAAACAGGAUUAGA
Molecule: ribosomal RNA, 368 nt
Filed under: uncultured bacterium
Lineage: Bacteria
Description: partial 16S ribosomal RNA
Rfam family: Bacterial small subunit ribosomal RNA
Source: RNAcentral